AAGUCGUAACAAGGUUUCCGUAGGUGAACCUGCGGAAGGAUCAUUAAAGGAGCGGAGCAUAUCGAGUGAGGCCAGUGGGAGGCGGGUGAGGCGAGUGUGAAGCGUAAGCUGAGCGGGAGCCGAGCCGCCGAGCACACGCCGAACGACAGAUGCGGAGCGGAGCGUGGGUGGAUUGUAUGGUAUGGUAUGCUGAUGCGUACUCUAACCUGUCAACCUACGCCCACUGCUUGACCUGCCUUCGCGAGAGGGUGGCUGUAUACAACUCUAGAAUUAAACCAUACAAUACACAUGACUUUUAACAACGGAUCUCUGGGCUCCCGCAUCGAUGAAGAACGCAGUGAAGUGCGAAACGUAAUGCGAUUUGCAGCAUCUGUGAGUCAUUGAGUCUUUGAACGCACCUGGCACCGAGAGUGAUCUUGGUAUACCCCUUUGAGCGCAGGAUUGAAAGAGUUUAUGGAUGGCACUGAGGAGACUCUGUGCUGAAAGGAGUGUGGGGAGGGUGAUGGUAGGGCCGCAAGGCAGUGCGAAGGCACGGAAAUCAUCCAUACAAACCACAUACUAACCCUUUCGCCUCAGGGGGGCAGGAUUACCCGCUGAACUUAA
Molecule: ribosomal RNA, 603 nt
Filed under: uncultured fungus
Lineage: Eukaryota; Fungi
Description: partial 18S ribosomal RNA
Rfam family: 5.8S ribosomal RNA (bases 291-439)
Source: RNAcentral